Egretta garzetta (little egret) is the source of this 5954-nucleotide RNA transcript. It is a transcript of the gene named zinc finger protein 438, with no coding region annotated. The transcript is spliced from 8 exons. Lineage: Eukaryota; Metazoa; Chordata; Aves; Pelecaniformes; Ardeidae. The record is from RefSeq and is a predicted model, not a curated record.
CGGGAGGAACGAGCGGGCCUGCCCGCGGUUACCCAGCGAGAUGUUGCAAUAGAGACCUGCAGAAGGGCUUCUACGAGUCACGGAAGUUACUCCUACAGUUGACUUAGACUUUUUCUACUACGCGUGGCCGUGAAACGUUGGCUGUACGAGGGCUGGCAGUAGAUGCCCUGGGGUUUUGCGACGCUGGGCUGUGGAAGCAUUUGGCUGGUGUGGAGCCCCGAGUCAGAGCUGUGUGCGCAGCUCUGGACUCUGAGACAUGAGCGUUGAUUCAUAAACCUUGCUGCUGCUUCCAUAAAAGUACAAAUACGACACGCGGCCCUCUCGGGCUCCUUGGGUUUGGGAGGAUCCUGAGAGCUGAAGGGUUUUCGUUUGUUCUGUGGCUGCAGAAGUGACUGCAGUAAAUGGGUGCAGCGUUUGUGCGUGACUGGUGCCGAGGCCUGCCGGCUUAUGAACCCAUUAGAAAUUUCUGUAUUGGUUCAAUGAUUAUUCUGCAUUAGACAGAAGAAGUGUUCUUCGUCUGUGACUUGGAGUGUUUCGAGGAUUUUUAUGUGCAGAGGAACGUUGUUGUAACUAUUAAAAGGCAUAAUGCAGAAUCCUUUAACAUUUUCUGCAGGUGGUGUUUUUUUGCAUGCUAAUCCUGCAGAGAAACAUUGUGUCCAACAAAGUAUGCUGGGUCAGCAAAAACAAGAAACUUGUGCUGGAAAGACAGUAUCCACAGAUAAACACAAAUCCCCUUCGGAUAUAAUACAAAGUUUUCAGAAGAAAAGUCAGUUUAGGACCAUUGCUCCAAAAAUGGUACCAAAAAUUUUAACAUCUGGAGUGGUUUCUUGUCUUCAGCCAUCUUUGCCCAAGCAAAAUACACCGAUUUCAGCUGCAGGUUCUAAGCCGCUGGUGGUACCAACUCAAAACUACGCUGUCAUGCAGGUGUCUGGUCAUGAGGGAACUUUUUCUCUGUUGGCCUUGCCGUAUGUUGCUCCUGCCCUAACACAGCAAGUCCAGCAGCCAAACAUGGCUCCUUCUGAAAACCUAAAGCUGCCUAUCCCUAGGUACCAAUCUGUAAGAAAUAAAUUGCUAAGUGACAAAAAACCAGCACAAAUCUCUGGUUUGGGUGCACAUAACAAGACUCCUACCAAAGCAUCAAUCUCUUCACAGACUUUCCCCAUGACUACCUUAACUGAAGACUGUCCUGAAGCUCAUUCUAGUUCAGAUUCAACUGAGCAAGUUAUGCUAACAGACCGUGACUCAGCUGAAAUUACAGUUGCCGCAUUAGUAAAUCAAAGCAAUUGUGUGGAAUCUGGAUCUCCUUUAGUGAACAAAACUGAAUUUGCUAACGGUAGUGUUUCUGGGCCAUCUGUAGUUAAAGGCUCUUCAUCCAAGCCAGCAAGUACAAUUAAUCCCAUGAAACUAAGUCUAUGCUCUGUGAAGACAGCAUCUGAAACCACAAGAGAGUCAUUCACAACAUCUGAGAAACUAAAGGAAAAACCCACAAAUUCUGCAAAUUCUGUUGCUGUCCUGUCACCAGCAGUUUUUGGCAGUACAAUACAGAUGACUCCAUCAGCACCGAAAGGAAAACUUCCUAUUUUGCCUUACUCAAGGAUGAAAAAUACAGUGUUCUGUAAGUCUAAGCAGAAUACUAAUGUUACGGAUGUAUCUGGACCUUCACUAAGAUCUGAAUGUGAAAAGAUACCAGCUUUGGCAAAAACCUUUCAUGUUCCUGCUAAAGCGUCUGAUAAACGAUUAGCUGUACCAUUUACAGAAGUCCCCAAAAAAACUAUUCGAGAAAAUACCUUCUCUCCAUCCAGUAAAGUGGAUGUCGACAGUCUUAAAAAAUUGAACGGUGCAGCCUCUAAAAGAAGAGGCAGGAAAAGAAGAGCCGCAGAUGAUUUAUUGGCUUUUCAGACCAAGCGAAGGAAAUGCAUCAUUAAUAAGUUUAGAGAAGGAAGAGAGAGGGCGAAAGUUGACCUUCAGCCACCUGAAGACAAAAAAGCAGAGGCAGUGAAAAAAUACCGUAGUAUCAGACCAAAACCAGUGGUAGUUGUGCAGGCUUUUACACCACUGACUUCUGCAGCAAUAGUAGAGACGCCGUCUCCUGACCGUUUAGAUGAAGAUAUUUUUUUAAAUAGUUUGCUUCCCAACAAAUAUUUAAGUUACAAGCAUAGUGAUGCUACAUCAGCUAAGUCAAGUGAUUUAAGUAGAAAUGCAUGUUCAGCUGUACCUAAGCCAUCGCAUAAAUGUCAUGUUUGUAACCAUGUCUUCCAGUUUAAACACCAUCUUCAGGACCAUAUGAACACACACACAAACAAACGGCCUUACAGCUGUCGAAUUUGCCGGAAAGCAUAUAUUCACUCUGGAAGCCUGAGCACGCAUAUGAAACUUCAUCACAACGAAGGCAAACCCAAAAAACUUGUGUGUUGUGAAUUCUGUGCUAAAGUUUUUGGCCACGCAAAAGUGUAUUUCGGUCACCUAAGAGAAGUGCACAGGGUUGUUAUCAGCACAGAGCCCUCUACUAGCGAGCAACAGCUGCAAGAUGCUUUAAAGAAGAGAGACAAGAAUAUAAAAGAAGCAGAAGAAGCAACGGAGAGGGGAAAUAAAUGCAAUUUUGAGGACCUAUUCCAUAACCCGGGAGAAGUGAAAUUACAGAUCAAAUGUGGUCGAUGCCAGUUUAUUGCACAGUCUUUUGGUGAGAUGAAGUUUCACUUAUUGUGCUUCCAUGGAGAAGAGAUCCAGGGAAGAGUGAAGGAAGGGGGGUUGCAAGGAAAUAGAGGAGCUAAGGGGGAACUGAUCAAACAUGCAACCCACUUCUGGAAACAGCGCAAUGAGAGAAGACAUUUGGCAAAAUGCAGUGCCCGUGAGGAGGAGUUUUAUACUUUUCCAAAACUGAAAAGACAGAUAUACUUUCACCAUCAAACCAAUGUUGAUAUCUUAUCUAAAAGUGAACUGACUCAGUCAGGAAGCGGUGAAGCAGCCAAGGAGAUGCAAAAUGUAGGUUUUGGUACACCAAGCAAAAAAAUAGAAAUUUGGUCUAAAGCGGGCUAUAACUGCAUCUUAUGCAAACAGUUAUUUGGAAGAAAGGAGGAUCUUUGUAAUCAUUGGCAGAGUCAUCAUAACUGUGAAGACCCUUCCACUUUAUGGACAAUUUUUAGUUUGUUAUCAAAACAAGGAAUUCUUGAACUUUCUAAUAAGGGUGAAUAUUGAAGCUCAAUUCUACAAUGCUAUGAAAAACAUUGACUACCUUCCCAAAUUGUUUAUGGUUUUUUGCUGUGUUGCUAAACUAACUCACAAGCUGUGUCACUUCAGGGGUUUGUUUGGUGGGUUUGUUGUUGGUUUGUUUGGGUUUUUUUAAGUUAUGCUAACCUUUAUUUUGUUAAAUAGAAAAUUUAUUUGUCCAGUGUCAUUCCAGAUGGGUACAUGCAAGCUGAUUAUGAAGCACUGUACUUAAAAUUCAAGGUUAAGGAACUUAGCAGCAGCAAAUACUCAGUGCUAACGGUUAACUUCAAGGAAAAAGAUUCUCACGUUAAAUAUACUGUACACACAGAAAUAAAUCAGUUUAUAUGAAGUAAUCUCAGUCUUGAAUGAAAUGACGAACCAGGCUGAAAGUGUAAUUUCAGUCCCAACUGUGCUUCCAGAUUUUAUGGUAAAUACAUAUUUUCAUGCGGUUCUCUGAAUCAUUUGAAUGUGCAUACAUGCAGCCGGCAUUCCACAGCUUUAUAAUCUAUAAUUUAAGAGCUUUUAACUCUUGUUUUCUUGAUUUUCAUGUCUUCAACCAUGUUCAUCGCUUGCAGGUUUGUUAUUGGCAGGCCUUUUAGGUGUUAUAUUCUGUCCUGGUAACAGCAAGGAUCUUUGGAUUUUUAGAGUGAAAAAUCUCCAUGUAUUUUUCUGCCUGUAGCUCUUUAGGUUGAAGACAAGUGAGUUGCCACCUGUGAAGAUGGAACCCUCAAAGCUUGCCUGCUUUAUGAAAGAAAACAAGUUUGUUUUAAAAAUAGUAAUCUGGGUUGGUUACUUCUGGGAAGUUUGACGUUCUGCAAUAGACUGCGUGUUUCACAGUGCACUUUUAGCAUAUUCCUUGCAUCGCCUGUGACAGCAGCACUACUACUGCCAACGCCGUUAGCACUCUGCCUGUAACACUCUUGGUAUAUAGCUUUUGUACCUCUGCAGUUGACCCAGUCUGUGACUUCAAAGGGAAAUUGUUCCUUCACUUCUAAGUCUAUGGUACAGGUAAUGAGGUUUUUUCACUUGUGUUGCCAGAUUUACUGUACUAGAGGAAUUGCAAGCAGCGCCUUAACCUUCCAGUGUCAGGAGCUAGCAGCCGGUAAUGCCGGAAUGGCGCACGCUGUGUCCCCUGCUACAGAGCAGGCACGGUGGUGCCCAUUUCUGCACAUCUCCAGGGGGGCCGGUCAGUUCAGGCUGUAAGGAGAUGGGAGUUCUGGAGCUCAGUUUUGAUGAAAAUGUCAUUGAACCAUGGAUUCUAGUUUGAAAUCAGUGUUUAAACUGCUGUUACUUAAAGCCUUAUGCACCUCUGAAUUAUUUGGGGAGCAAUAAUGGAGGCAGCAUAAGAAGUCACUGUACCACUGUUCAGCAGAAGUCAGAGCACGUCAGAGGGCAAACUGAAAAAUACACCAAUACUGUCUCUACAGUACUACUGUAUCCAUUUCUUCUUGUGGUCAACCUAUAAUUGAGGGAUUGCAAUGAUGGAGUCAUUCCUAAAAUGUCCUGGGUGGUUUCUCACUAUUUUGCAAAAAUUGUGGUGAUGAGAACAUGAGAAGAGAUCUAAAAAUGUUGGAUUUUCUGAGUGGGAUUCCAGAAGAUGUCGCAAUGUUUUGUGUAUUUUUUUUGUUUUUAAACAGUAAAGGCAGUUUUGAUGAGCUAAUAGUUUUGAGUGUAAUUUCUUCUUGUACGGUGCUUUGCCCUGGAAUUGAACUGUAAGACUGGAGCCAGGAAAAAUAAAAGACAAAAAGGAAAAUGCUCAUAGAACUGUACAGGUGCCUGGUAAGGUGGAAGAAUCCCUGUGGAUUUUCAAAACUUCCUUCCUACUAUCUGUUGCUAUGAAUACAUAUUUGUAGUCGUUUCUUUGCUUUCGUAUAUUACUUUUGUAUGCAGAACUACUUUAAAAAUACUACUUGUUCUUACUCUUGGGUAUGGCACACCCAUCUUUUAAUGCUUACAAUGCAUUCGUAUUUAUUUUCACUGGGUGGAUGCAGGAGAAUGUAUGGCGUAUUUGGAAAGGAAUGGCUAAUUUUAAAGUCAUAUCAAACGGGGACUAUAUUUAACUUUGUAAAGUGUGUUUGCAUUUAGAAGCAAUUUUUCCCCCCCAUCUUAAUUCUUUAACUUUCAAAAUCAAACAGCUUGGUGUUUUCUCUGAAACAGAGAUGUGAGAACAGUCCCUCCUUCACGUAGUUAUAAUGUAUCAAAGUCCAGGCCAAAUGGAGAAAGGGGUCUCAGCUUUCAGCAAUUUAAAGCCUGAAAACACGUUUUAAACUUCACUGUUCAACUUUAAAGCUGUUCCUCACAUGGAAAGUUGGUCCUUCAUCAUCACACCAUAAAUAAUCAAAGCUGGAGGAGUGCCAUCGCUUCUCUGGCUUGCAGAGUAUUGCCCUUCUCCAGCUGCAGAGCUACAGUUUCCUAUGGCUAACUUGACAUAGUUGCUGGCAGUAAAUGUUUUACUUCAUUUAUUUAUUAGAAUUUAGAUCUCUGCUGUUCAGCUGCAUCAGAGUUUCUGUCAUACCUCAUUAGAUACUUAUUUCAUUUUAUCUACUGUUCACUGAGCUCUUUAGAGAAAGUGUCAUAAGAAGGAUGAACAGGUAUUUAGGAGAGCAGAUUUCAACCCUAACUUUGUGCAGAUGAUGCUGACGUUUGAGAAUCACCAGCUUAUCUAGGCUCAGCCAUGUAGUAUAUUAUAUUUCUACAACACAUCCACCUACAUGCGCAUCUAUUUUGGAAAGAAACGUAUACUUCAA